RNAcentral lists this ribosomal RNA (942 nucleotides) under Chironomus alternans. Its description in RNAcentral is "eukaryotic LSU rRNA". The stretch from base 1 to 485 matches the Rfam family "Eukaryotic large subunit ribosomal RNA", at positions 289 to 664 of the family's 3401-position model. The record is from RNAcentral. Lineage: Eukaryota; Metazoa; Arthropoda; Insecta; Diptera; Chironomidae.
GGAUUGGGGGAUACUCCUUCUAGGCUAAAUAUUACCAUGAGACCGAUAGCGAACAAGUACCGUGAGGGAAAGUUGAAAAGCACUCUGAAUAGAGAGUCAAAUAGUACGUGAAACUGUCUAGGGGCUCAAACCUAAAGAACCCAAAUAUCUAAACGGAGAAAUUCAAUACUACCCUUUAAAACGUCGUAGUGUGCACUUUUCUCUUAGUAAGACGACGUGAUCCAUUAGAAAUUGAUACAUACAAAAUGUAUAUUGGGUCAUCAAUAGGCCAGUAUGAAGUUUAUUGGAACAAAUGGCAUGAUCUUAUACGGUCGUGUGUAUUGUCUGGUAAGCAUAUUGUGUACCUGUAAUGACUGUCUGAUGGAUUUUAAAGACGCUAUCAAUGAUGUUACGGCAUCACUUGUCUUUAUUGAUGAGAGUACGUUAGCUGUCUGAUCAACGUCGGUUAAAUUUGGGAUACCUUUUGGACCCGUCUUGAAACACCGGACCAAAAUAGGGUAUCCAAAUUUAACCGACUUUGAUACACGCUAGUACUCUCAUCAAUAAAGACAGUGAUGCCAUAACAUCAGUGAUGCGUCUUUAAAUCCAUCAGACGUCUUACGGUACACAUAUGCUUACAGACAUACACACCACGUAUAAAUCACGCAUUUGUUCAAUAACUUCAACGGGCCUAUGGAGAACCAAUAUACUUUUGUAGUAAUCAUUUCUGGGGGACACGUCCUCUUCUAAGAGAAAAGUGCCCCCAGACCUUUUAAGGGGGAGUAUUGAGUCCUCGAUUAAUAGUGGGUUCUGUAGGUUGAGCCGCUGACGUUUACGUACUAUUGACUCCUCUAUGACGAGUGCUAUCACUUCUGCAGUACUGGUUGGAUUCGUUCAAGGUAUAUACUAGCUAGGAUGUGACUUACCUUCCCAUGUAGGCGUGCAUAUCACAGCGCACGAGAG